Molecule: ribosomal RNA, 886 nt
Filed under: Staphylococcus aureus
Lineage: Bacteria; Bacillati; Bacillota; Bacilli; Caryophanales; Staphylococcaceae
Description: bacterial SSU rRNA
Rfam family: Bacterial small subunit ribosomal RNA
Source: RNAcentral
CGCUGGCGGCGUGCCUAAUACAUGCAAGUCGAGCGAACGGACGAGAAGCUUGCUUCUCUGAUGUUAGCGGCGGACGGGUGAGUAACACGUGGAUAACCUACCUAUAAGACUGGGAUAACUUCGGGAAACCGGAGCUAAUACCGGAUAAUAUUUUGAACCGCAUGGUUCAAAAGUGAAAGACGGUCUUGCUGUCACUUAUAGAUGGAUCCGCGCUGCAUUAGCUAGUUGGUAAGGUAACGGCUUACCAAGGCAACGAUGCAUAGCCGACCUGAGAGGGUGAUCGGCCACACUGGAACUGAGACACGGUCCAGACUCCUACGGGAGGCAGCAGUAGGGAAUCUUCCGCAAUGGGCGAAAGCCUGACGGAGCAACGCCGCGUGAGUGAUGAAGGUCUUCGGAUCGUAAAACUCUGUUAUUAGGGAAGAACAUAUGUGUAAGUAACUGUGCACAUCUUGACGGUACCUAAUCAGAAAGCCACGGCUAACUACGUGCCAGCAGCCGCGGUAAUACGUAGGUGGCAAGCGUUAUCCGGAAUUAUUGGGCGUAAAGCGCGCGUAGGCGGUUUUUUAAGUCUGAUGUGAAAGCCCACGGCUCAACCGUGGAGGGUCAUUGGAAACUGGAAAACUUGAGUGCAGAAGAGGAAAGUGGAAUUCCAUGUGUAGCGGUGAAAUGCGCAGAGAUAUGGAGGAACACCAGUGGCGAAGGCGACUUUCUGGUCUGUAACUGACGCUGAUGUGCGAAAGCGUGGGGAUCAAACAGGAUUAGAUACCCUGGUAGUCCACGCCGUAAACGAUGAGUGCUAAGUGUUAGGGGGUUUCCGCCCCUUAGUGCUGCAGCUAACGCAUUAAGCACUCCGCCUGGGGAGUACGACCGCAAGGUUGAAACU